RNAcentral lists this transfer RNA (77 nucleotides) under Euzebya pacifica. Its description in RNAcentral is "Euzebya sp. DY32-46 tRNA-Pro". It matches the Rfam family "tRNA". Rfam says of the family: Transfer RNA (tRNA) molecules are approximately 80 nucleotides in length. Their secondary structure includes four short double-helical elements and three loops (D, anti-codon, and T loops). Further hydrogen bonds mediate the characteristic L-shaped molecular structure. tRNAs have two regions of fundamental functional importance: the anti-codon, which is responsible for specific mRNA codon recognition, and the 3' end, to which the tRNAs corresponding amino acid is attached (by aminoacyl-tRNA synthetases). tRNAs cope with the degeneracy of the genetic code in two manners: having more than one tRNA (with a specific anti-codon) for a particular amino acid; and 'wobble' base-pairing, i.e. permitting non-standard base-pairing at the 3rd anti-codon position. The record is from RNAcentral. Lineage: Bacteria; Bacillati; Actinomycetota; Nitriliruptoria; Euzebyales; Euzebyaceae. RNAcentral also lists the same sequence under 1 other name.
CGGGAUGUAGCGCAGUUUGGCAGCGCGCCACGUUCGGGACGUGGAGGUCCAGGGUUCAAAUCCCUGCAUCCCGACCA